CCUACGGGAGGCAGCAGUAGGGAAUAUUGCACAAUGGGGGAAACCCUGAUGCAGCAACGCCGCGUGGGGGAAGAAGGUUUUCGGAUUGUAAACCCCUUUUGUUAGAGAAGAUAAUGACGGUAUCUAACGAAUCAGCACCGGCUAACUCCGUGCCAGCAGCCGCGGUAAUACGGAGGGUGCAAGCGUUACGCGGAAUCACUGGGCGUAAAGAGAGCGUAGGCGGGAUAGCAAGUCAGAUGUGAAAGCCUAUGGCUUAACCAUAGAACUGCAUUGGAAACUGUUAGUCUAGAGUGUGGGAGAGGUAAGUGGAAUUCCUGGUGUAGGGGUAAAAUCCGUAGAGAUCAAGAGGAAUACUCAUUGCGAAGGCGACCUGCUAGAAUAUAACUGACGCUGAUGCGCGAAAGCGUGGGGAGCAAACAGGAUUAGAUACCCUUGUAGUC
RNAcentral lists this ribosomal RNA (440 nucleotides) under uncultured bacterium. Its description in RNAcentral is "partial 16S ribosomal RNA". It matches the Rfam family "Bacterial small subunit ribosomal RNA", at positions 338 to 795 of the family's 1533-position model. The record is from RNAcentral.